AGAAGAAAGUGUCGUCUUUCGUGG
Molecule: non-coding RNA, 24 nt
Filed under: Arabidopsis thaliana (thale cress)
Lineage: Eukaryota; Viridiplantae; Streptophyta; Magnoliopsida; Brassicales; Brassicaceae
Source: RNAcentral